Molecule: unclassified non-coding RNA, 77 nt
Filed under: soil metagenome
Description: partial internal transcribed spacer 1
Source: RNAcentral
AAGAUAUACGAAUAUUUGUGAAAAAAAAAAAAAAAACUCGUAACGCUAAUUUUAUAGUCAAAACAAAAAAAUUAUCA